Molecule: ribosomal RNA, 253 nt
Filed under: uncultured bacterium
Lineage: Bacteria
Description: partial 16S ribosomal RNA
Rfam family: Bacterial small subunit ribosomal RNA
Source: RNAcentral
UACGAAGGGGGCGAGCGUUGUUCGGAUUUACUGGGCGUAAAGGGCGCGCAGGCGGCUCAUUUUGUCAGGCGUGAAAGCCCCGGGCUUAACCUGGGAACUGCGUUUGAUACGGAUGGGCUAGAGUUCGGGAGAGGAGAGUGGAAUUCCCAGUGUAGAGGUGAAAUUCGUAGAUAUUGGGAAGGACACCGGUGGCGAAGGCGGCUCUCUGGACCGAGACUGACGCUGAGGCGCGAAAGCGUGGGGAGCAAACAGG